GUCAUUGUCGUUCCAUGAGGGUGAUGAUAAUCCAAACAUUCGCCUUUUGCAUGAUUUAUUGUUGGCUUACUCUCUUCAACAACUUUGAUCUUGGUUAUUGUCAGGUAACAUAUAUGUCCCUAUUAUUUAUAGAGUAAAUUACAAUUUUGUCCUUGUGGUAUUUCAAAAGUUAUGGUUUUCAUCUAGUUGUUUCAUUUGUUGCACAGGUGGUCUACAAAGUAUAGCUUUGUUAUAAGGUUAGUCCCUAACGUUGAUGGUGUUACAAAUUGUCCAUGAAGUCCAAGUAAAAUUACUAUUUUGCCUCUAUCUCUUUCUCCUUCAUCACCUAACCAUAAUAAAAUUCCUCAAUCUCCACCUUAAAACCAAAAAUUAAACUAAAACUAAAACAAAAUGAAGAUCCGGGGUACCAACAAAUUGCAAAAAAAAACAUGAGCAUCAAAAUAGAAAGAUUUUGAAGUUAGAUUUUUUAGAUCUUGAUUUUGGUUUAAGUUUUGGGUUUUGAUUGAGUGUGGUUUGGUUUUUAUGAUUUAUGUGUAAGGAGAUUUGAAAUAAACAGUUUUUUUCCGCAAAGGACAGUGAUCUCCUCCUCUCACUAAUAAUGUUGUUCAUCAAUCAUGAAAGAUAAAUCAUAAGCUUUCUGGUGUUUUCUUACUUUAAUGGAAAGAUCAAGUCCAAAGAUCCAUCUGUGAUAAAAAAAGGCAUGCACUCUCAACUCUUUGCAUCAUCAAAGGUCCUCCCUCUAUCUCACUAUAGAACAAGGGUAUUUUCGUCGUUUAAUAAAAUAGGAAGAAUGUAACUGAAAUCCUUCCACCGGCCCCUAUGAAUGGUUCAAAUCCAUCAAAUAUCACAUUCGAAGGAAUUUGACAGAGUUGAAUCCGGUCCAAAUUUUUAACCAAAUGCACCAUUGAAUGGAAUAUUGAAUUCCAAUUCCACCGGAAUCAACAAUUCUAAUUCAUAGCUGCGAUUUUCAAAAAUGAUACUUCAAGAAAUCCGACAGAACUGAAUUCUGUCUUAAUUGUCAAUCAAACAUGUCUUGAUAAGGAAUCUUGAAUUCCAAUUCUGUUGGAAUCCGCGAUUCCUUUUCUUAGCUGGUGGAACUACUCAACAACUUAUUUUAGUUGUUACAACUUGUAUAAAAUCUUUUUGAUGCUUAAAUUCCUGUAUCAUCCUUAAUUAGUAAUGGAUCACUUGGAAUUGCAGUUUUCAGAUGAAAAUAAGGAUGAAACUAAUAUCUUUUUCAAGAUUAGAAUUAUCAAGUUUGUAGGGCUACCUUGGUUUUUUGCUGACAUAAGUAUAUGAAGAUUGUAAAGUUGCAUAACCAAUCCGAAUUUAUGUUGUUUUUACAUGUAUCAAUCAUUAUCAUCUGACACAUCUUAUUUUCAUGGUUAUGUUAAUAGGACAACCAAAGCAGUCAAGAGCUCCUAGCAAUUUGGAAAAAAAAAGCCAGUGGUCACUAAAUUGUCAAAGGUACAAAACCAAACUCUACUUACUUAAUAAUUAAUAUGGAUGCAAAUUGUCUAAUAGUGUAAUAAUGAAAAAAGCGUUGCUAUAUUAGUGUCCCAUGAAGGGACCUAUCUGUGAGUGAUUGUCAUUUUAAUUUUUCCCAUUAGGACAUUUUAAUUUUACGUUCUUAUUAAGACAAUGCACUUUGAUUAUGGUUACCAGUUUAAAUUAUUAUAUAUUAUUUAUUUUGCUAUUAGAAAAUUUUCUUUGAAAAUCGAACCGGUUGUGGCAUUAUAAUUUCAUAUAUAGCAUUAUACUUUCAGUAUCAAAUCUAUUAAGAUAAUAUACUUUUUGUCUUAAGUCAUUUCAUUUUGAAAAUCUACACUUGAUUACCUUUUUCCCCUAUUUAGAUAUUGUUCUUUGAUAAAUGGUUUAUGAAGACAUUGCAGUUCAAAAGUUAUAAAUUUACAAUUUAACCUGUUAAAUUAUAAUUUUUUUUCCUUCUAAGAUAUUGUACUUUGAUAUUACUUUGAAAAUCUAAAGAUUUUUGAUAUUGGUUACUGUCUAUAGGAUUUUACUUUCAAUUUUUUUUCCUAUUACGGCAUUGUACAUUGAAAACUUGUUUGAUUUUUGUUACAAAUAGCAUUUUAUUUUAAGCUUUUCUUGUUAAAACAUUAUGCUUUGAAAAACCUACCUAAUAGUAGCACUACAACUUUCAGUUAUAGCAUUAUGCUUUCAAUGUCCCUAUUUUUUUAAUGUUUUUUUUUUCAGGUAUGACAUUGUAUGAUUAAAUUCUUAUGGAUUAUAGUUUUAUACUCUCUCAUAUAGCACUAUACUUUUGAUAUCUAACCUAUUAAUCCAUUUUUACUAAUUAUAGGAUUUUACCUCGAAUUAUAAAUUUGUUUUACGUUAUUACCCUCUUCAGACACAUGCGAUAUGCUUCUCUUGGAGGGUUUGAUGUGGCAAUGAAACGUAUGUUGAAAAUUGUGG
This 2433-nucleotide long non-coding RNA is filed under the name Lactuca sativa (garden lettuce). Its description in RNAcentral is "long non-coding RNA (LSAT_LNC006108)". Lineage: Eukaryota; Viridiplantae; Streptophyta; Magnoliopsida; Asterales; Asteraceae. The record is from RNAcentral.